UCGGAUUGUAGUCUGCAACUCGACUACAUGAAGCUGGAAUCGCUAGUAAUCGCAGAUCAGAAUGCUGCGGUGAAUACGUUCCCGGGUCUUGUACACACCGCCCGUCACACCAUGGGAGUCGGAAAUGCCCGAAGCCGGUGACCCAACCAAAAGGAGGGAGCCGUCGAAGGCAGGUCUGAUAACUGGGGUGAAGUCGUAACAAGGUAAC
Molecule: ribosomal RNA, 208 nt
Filed under: uncultured bacterium
Lineage: Bacteria
Description: partial 16S ribosomal RNA
Rfam family: Bacterial small subunit ribosomal RNA
Source: RNAcentral